Molecule: ribosomal RNA, 549 nt
Filed under: Debaryomyces sp. BEA-2010
Lineage: Eukaryota; Fungi; Ascomycota; Pichiomycetes; Serinales; Debaryomycetaceae
Description: eukaryotic LSU rRNA
Rfam family: 5.8S ribosomal RNA (bases 197-350)
Source: RNAcentral
AUUCUUUUUGCCAGCGCUUAAUUGCGCGGCGAAAAAACCUUACACACAGUGUUUUUUGUUAUUACAAGAACUUUUGCUUUGGUCUGGACUAGAAAUAGUUUGGGCCAGAGGUUUACUGAACUAAACUUCAAUAUUUAUAUUGAAUUGUUAUUUAUUUUAAUUGUCAAUUUGUUGAUUAAAUUCAAAAAAUCUUCAAAACUUUCAACAACGGAUCUCUUGGUUCUCGCAUCGAUGAAGAACGCAGCGAAAUGCGAUAAGUAAUAUGAAUUGCAGAUUUUCGUGAAUCAUCGAAUCUUUGAACGCACAUUGCGCCCUCUGGUAUUCCAGAGGGCAUGCCUGUUUGAGCGUCAUUUCUCUCUCAAACCUUCGGGUUUGGUAUUGAGUGAUACUCUUAGUCGAACUAGGCGUUUGCUUGAAAUGUAUUGGCAUGAGUGGUACUGGAUAGUGCUAUAUGACUUUCAAUGUAUUAGGUUUAUCCAACUCGUUGAAUAGUUUAAUGGUAUAUUUCUCGGUAAUUCUAGGCUCGGCCUUACAAUAUAACAAACAAGU